This 464-nucleotide ribosomal RNA is filed under the name uncultured soil bacterium. RNAcentral's name for it is "bacterial SSU rRNA". It matches the Rfam family "Bacterial small subunit ribosomal RNA", at positions 26 to 518 of the family's 1533-position model. The record is from RNAcentral.
AGGACGAACGCUGGCGGCGUGCCUAACACAUGCAAGUCGAACGGGAUCCGCAAGGAUUCAGUGGCGAACGGGUGCGUAACACGUGAAGAAUUUGUCCAACGGCGGGGGAUAGCCGGCCCAACGGCCGGGUAAUACCGCGUACGACCUUUGAGGGGCAUCCCUCGAUGGUGAAAGCCGCAAGGCGCCGAUGGAGAACUUCGCGGCCUAUCAGCUGGUUGGUGAGGUCAUGGCUCACCAAGGCGACGACGGGUAGCUGGUCCGAGAGGAUGACCAGCCACAUUGGGACUGAGACACGGCCCAGACUCCUACGGGAGGCAGCAGUGGGAAUAUUGCGCAAUGGCGAAAGCCUGACGCAGCACGCCGCGUGUGGGAUGACGGCCUUCGGGUGUAACCACUGUCGCGAGGACGAAGCUCGUGACGGUACCUCGAAAGGAAGCACCGGCUAACUCUGUGCCAGCAGCCGC